CGACACAUCUGUAAUUGCACACUCUCUGCAUCCAGCUCUCCCGUCUGCCGACUCUCCUCUCGCCAAUCGCUCUUCCUUUGUCUUUUUUAAAACAUGGAGAUAAUCACAAUGAUGAUUUCUUGCAGCUGAGGCCAAUUGCCUCCACCUGGCACAGUUCCCUGAGCCACUCCCCCUUUCUUUCCCCUCUGCAGCAGAGCCAAAACCACUCCCGCCACCAUAAUGAGUUAGGAAAAGAAAUAGCCAUAAUAAAGUAGGGUAUGUCAAAAUCUGAGUGUGUAUAGACAAGUUUCCUGAGUGAAAUAAGCGGGCCGCCAUUGGCCUUUCACUCUGCCAACGACUUCCGGUUGUGUCUGCAAAGCACUUCCGGUUAGCGAGUUAGCGUCUUUUACGGUCUUUGGUUAGCGUGCAGAAAAAGUAAACUAUGGAUGGUGUUACACGCCGACACGGCUCCGGGACAUAUUGUGCUGUUCACGGUUGCAACAACUCGUGCCGAUUGCUGAAUGUUUGGUCGGAAGGAGAAUGUUUCGACCAUCAACCAUCUACAAGACAAGUCCCCAUGCGUCCUUCCACAAGAUGCUCCUUCAAAUAAGCAAAUAAGUGCUGUUCAGUAUCCAAACACUGGCGAUCACAUAACGCUGCAGUGCAUUUAAAUGCCAAGCAUCACCAGCACACUGACAGCUGACUCCAACGGUUUGCCACUGAACAGAUGCACAAUGUUGUCAGCUGACGCUGAAAUUGGUUAAAAAGUUCGUCACAGACUGGCCGCUGUCAGUCAGUCAACUUCAAGGCCACUUACCCUUCAUAUCAUAUUCUGGUGUAUUGCUGUUUUAAGUAAGAGGUUCUUUACAAUUAACAGUGAGAAACUGUUUUCAUUACAAAGCAUGACUAUAAAUACAGUGCUGGCUGUUAAGUGUAUAUGUUUUAUCUCCAUUGGCACCACAAUGGUGUGUAAUCAAAGGUAAUUCAUGUCAAAAUCAGAAUAUUGAAUGAUUUACAGAUUACGGUGCAUUCCUGUUGUAUGUACAAUUACUAGGACAAUUAAGUGAUAAAAUGUAUUCAUUAUAUGAUAUGAAUGCCAAAACCAUUCUCUGUGGUGACAUUUACAGUGCUUCACUGUCAAAUAAACUUAAUUUAACAGAUUUCAAUUUAAAAGUCUUGUCGGGAUAGUUUUUCAUCGUAAUUAGAAACUAAAGUGUAGUUAAAUGUUGAUAAUGUAAUGUUUGUAUAAUGUAUCACCUGUUUAA
Long non-coding RNA from Gasterosteus aculeatus aculeatus (three-spined stickleback), 1244 nucleotides. The record is from Ensembl. Lineage: Eukaryota; Metazoa; Chordata; Actinopteri; Perciformes; Gasterosteidae.